Molecule: ribosomal RNA, 232 nt
Filed under: uncultured bacterium
Lineage: Bacteria
Description: partial 16S ribosomal RNA
Rfam family: Bacterial small subunit ribosomal RNA
Source: RNAcentral
CGGGACGGGUGAGUAAUGUCUGGGAAACUGCCUGAUGGAGGGGGAUAACUACUGGAAACGGUAGCUAAUACCGCAUAACGUCGCAAGACCAAAGAGGGGACCUUCGGGCCUCUUGCCAUCGGAUGUGCCCAGAUGGGAUUAGCUAGUAGGUGGGGUAAAGGCUCACCUAGGCGACGAUCCCUAGCUGGUCUGAGAGGAUGACCAGCCACACUGGAACUGAGACACGGUCCAG